RNAcentral lists this ribosomal RNA (789 nucleotides) under Escherichia coli. RNAcentral describes it as "partial 23S ribosomal RNA". It matches the Rfam family "Bacterial large subunit ribosomal RNA", at positions 404 to 1194 of the family's 2925-position model. Lineage: Bacteria; Pseudomonadati; Pseudomonadota; Gammaproteobacteria; Enterobacterales; Enterobacteriaceae. The record is from RNAcentral.
CUCGAUGAGUAGGGCGGGACACGUGGUAUCCUGUCUGAAUAUGGGGGGACCAUCCUCCAAGGCUAAAUACUCCUGACUGACCGAUAGUGAACCAGUACCGUGAGGGAAAGGCGAAAAGAACCCCGGCGAGGGGAGUGAAAAAGAACCUGAAACCGUGUACGUACAAGCAGUGGGAGCACGCUUAGGCGUGUGACUGCGUACCUUUUGUAUAAUGGGUCAGCGACUUAUAUUCUGUAGCAAGGUUAACCGAAUAGGGGAGCCGAAGGGAAACCGAGUCUUAACUGGGCGUUAAGUUGCAGGGUAUAGACCCGAAACCCGGUGAUCUAGCCAUGGGCAGGUUGAAGGUUGGGUAACACUAACUGGAGGACCGAACCGACUAAUGUUGAAAAAUUAGCGGAUGACUUGUGGCUGGGGGUGAAAGGCCAAUCAAACCGGGAGAUAGCUGGUUCUCCCCGAAAGCUAUUUAGGUAGCGCCUCGUGAAUUCAUCUCCGGGGGUAGAGCACUGUUUCGGCAAGGGGGUCAUCCCGACUUACCAACCCGAUGCAAACUGCGAAUACCGGAGAAUGUUAUCACGGGAGACACACGGCGGGUGCUAACGUCCGUCGUGAAGAGGGAAACAACCCAGACCGCCAGCUAAGGUCCCAAAGUCAUGGUUAAGUGGGAAACGAUGUGGGAAGGCCCAGACAGCCAGGAUGUUGGCUUAGAAGCAGCCAUCAUUUAAAGAAAGCGUAAUAGCUCACUGGUCGAGUCGGCCUGCGCGGAAGAUGUAACGGGGCUAAACCAUGCAC